Molecule: long non-coding RNA, 1379 nt
Filed under: Mus musculus (house mouse)
Lineage: Eukaryota; Metazoa; Chordata; Mammalia; Rodentia; Muridae
Description: RIKEN cDNA E330011O21 gene
Source: RNAcentral
CCAGCUGUUCUAACACCUCCUGCCUGCCAGUACUGACUCUUUAUGCAUGGGGGCUUCCGGCUUAUCUAUACUUCGAAGACAGUGAACUAGGUUAACCAGAUAUAGGACUCCUCUGUCUUGCUACGAUGGACAGCCACAAGGAUUCACUUGAAUAAAAGAAGCAACAGUGGGUGCCAGGCUGUUUGCGGACCUGGGUUUGGUGUCUAACAUCCAUGUGGUGGCUCACAUCCAUCAGUAACUCCAUUCGAGGAGAUCCAAUACCCUCUACUGCCCUCCUCUAGUACCACACAGAGUUUGAUUUUGAUUUUGAUUUCUGGCAGUGCUGUGGAUUGAAUGGCGGGCCUUGCACAGAAAUGUGCUGUUUUGUUAUACAUUUAUUACAAAGAAUCUCACAAAAAGAAAAUAUUUCAAAAAGAAUGCCAGGCUAAAGAACCUCCACCUGGAGAACUGGGGGAAGGCAGGGCAAUGUAAGUUCUUCUGCCUGCCCAAGACCUGUGGAAGAUAUAAACAGAACCAGUCUAAAAAUGGCUGAUAUUACCCAAGCCUGAAAAGGGCUCACAGAACACCAAGUCACCCCUGCUAGAAAGCUUAAUCAGGGCAUCUUAACAGAGCUCCUAAGCAGGCUUGGCAGUUCAGGAUUUUGUCUUCUGGUUGUUUUCUUUUCCACUUAGAAUAUCAACGUCAACAUACAGCACCCUCUGGCCAUACUUUAGCAGUUCCAGGAUGGCCAAGACGACAUCGUUGAUGUAACAGAAACCUGAGGCGUCAGACUUCUUUACAUGAUGCAGUCCCCCAGCCUGGCUCGCAGUGAUGUCCCUCUGAUGUGUAUCAAGUUUCACAGCACUUUCCAAAGAGCCACCAAUAGACAACUGACAACUCAGACAGGCCAUCGAUUACCGGGAAGUCCUCACCAACGCGGAAUCUCUGCAUCUGCUUGCUGUAUUUAGACACAUUAUCUGGGCGAAUAGAGCACAAGAGUUUAAUGUAGUCAUCACUGUGGGACUUGGUCAUCUCCUCAGCGUUGGCUCUGUGAGGACGAUAGAUUUCCAUUUUUUGGUAGAGAUGUAGUUGAGCUGCAAAUCACGAGUCAUGUGGAUUCGGUGAGGCUUCAUUGGGUGGCCCUGUCCAUAAGAUAGUUUCCAACAUCCCUGUUAACAGACGUUCCUCUUGCCCUGAGUCUGUGCCAUCUUUCUCACCACCCAGUGCUCCUGCCAGUCUGAUGUUUUAAUAUUUUUAGAUGGUGAUGCUUUGAGUUUAAAUGGCCUUUGACAAAUUCUAUCCUAAUUUCUAAUUAAGACAAGGAAAGAAAACAAAGAUGGAUAAGGACCAUAAAGUAAUGAAUGGACUGGAAACAGAAGUAAACUUAUUCAACAAUAAAA